GAGUGCUCAAGCAGGCUUUCGCCUUGAUAGUUUAGCAUGGAAUAAUAAAGUAGGACUUUGGUUCUAUUUUGUUGGUUUUAGGUACCAAAGUAAUGGUUAAUAGGAACAGUUGGGGGCAUUCGUAUUUAACUGUCAGAGGUGAAAUUCUUAGA
RNAcentral lists this ribosomal RNA (152 nucleotides) under Theileria annulata. Its description in RNAcentral is "partial 18S ribosomal RNA". It matches the Rfam family "Eukaryotic small subunit ribosomal RNA", at positions 769 to 924 of the family's 1831-position model. Lineage: Eukaryota; Apicomplexa; Aconoidasida; Piroplasmida; Theileriidae. The record is from RNAcentral.